AUUGAACGCUGGCGGCAGGCUUAACACAUGCAAGUCGAGCGAGCGGCGGAAGGGUGAGUAAUGUCUGUGAAACUGCCUGAUGGAGGGGGAUAACUACUGGAAACGGUAGCUAAUACCGCAUACCAUCAGAUGUGCCCAGAUGGGCUUAGCUAGUAGGUGGGGUAAUCGCUCACCUAGGCGACGAUCCCUAGCUGGUCUUAGAGGAUGACCAGCCACACUUGAACUGAGACACGGUCCAUACUCCUACGGUAGGCAGCAGUGGUGAAUAUUGCACAAUGGGCGCAAGCCGGAUGCAUCCAUGCCGCGUGUAUGAAGAAGUCCUUCGGGUUGUAAAGUACUUUCAGCGGGGAGGCGUUACCCGCAGAAGAAGCACCGGCUAACUCCGUGCCAGCAGCCGCGGUAAUUC
Molecule: ribosomal RNA, 406 nt
Filed under: uncultured bacterium
Lineage: Bacteria
Description: partial 16S ribosomal RNA
Rfam family: Bacterial small subunit ribosomal RNA
Source: RNAcentral